GAAGACCAAGGGUACCAGCUUGGCUGGGGGAGUGAAGGAGGAGGGAGGAAGCCAGAGAUGGGAUCAGACAGCUGGGAGUGGACAAGUGGUCAAGUGAUGGUGCCAGCCAAUGAGAGGAUUGGUUAUACUAGCAAAUGACUGGAAACAACCUAAAUAUUAUCAACAGAAGUCUGAAUUAAACAAAUUAUAGCACAACCGUAUCAUGGAUUGCUGUAGCUGUAAAAUCAAACAAGGAAGUGCUCUGGAUAAUCA
Molecule: long non-coding RNA, 252 nt
Organism: Piliocolobus tephrosceles (Ugandan red Colobus)
Lineage: Eukaryota; Metazoa; Chordata; Mammalia; Primates; Cercopithecidae
Exons: 3
Source: RefSeq, a predicted model, not a curated record